ACUCCUACGGGAGGCAGCAGUAGGGAAUAUUGGACAAUGGGCGAAAAGCCCUGAUCCAGCAAUGCCGCGUGAGUGAUGAAGGCCUAUGGGUCGUAAAGCUCUGNCGUAUAGGAAUAAAUGCCUGUGGUUAAUACCCGCAGGAGCUGAAGGUACUAUACAAGAAAGCACCGGCUAACUACGUGCCAGCAGCCGCGGUAAUACGUAGGGUGCUAGCG
This 215-nucleotide ribosomal RNA is filed under the name uncultured bacterium. Its description in RNAcentral is "partial 16S ribosomal RNA". It matches the Rfam family "Bacterial small subunit ribosomal RNA", at positions 335 to 540 of the family's 1533-position model. The record is from RNAcentral.